ACAGUUUAACAUGAUGGAGUAUAGGACAGGACUGCUGCUUUUAACUCUCUGCUGGGCAGGUGUUGAUGGUCAGACUCUGACAGAAUCUGAACCAGUGGUUAAAAGGCCUGGAGAAUCUCACAGAUUGACCUGUACAGCCUCUGGAUUCACAUUCAGUAACCACUGGAUGGCCUGGGUCAGACAGGCUCCUGGAAAAGGACUGGAGUGGAUCGCUUAUAUCAGUAGUGGUGGUGGUAGCUACAUCUCCUACUCUCAGUCAGUUCAAGGCCGGUUUACCAUCUCCAGAGACAACAGCAGACAGCAGCUGUAUCUGCAGAUGAACAGUCUGAAGACUGAAGAUUCUGCUGUUUAUUAUUGUGCUCGAGACUCACAGUGACUGGAGUUGGUUGAGCAGCUGUACAAAAUCCUACAGGACUAAUUGCUCAGGC
This is a non-coding RNA of Siniperca chuatsi (mandarin fish), 428 nucleotides long. NCBI's taxonomy places the organism in Eukaryota, Metazoa, Chordata, Actinopteri, Centrarchiformes, Sinipercidae. The record is from the annotation of a RefSeq genome assembly.